Molecule: long non-coding RNA, 5107 nt
Filed under: Mytilus galloprovincialis (Mediterranean mussel)
Lineage: Eukaryota; Metazoa; Mollusca; Bivalvia; Mytilida; Mytilidae
Source: RNAcentral
GAUGUUUCAAACAAUAACUCAAUUCUUUUCAUUGCACAUUCUUUGUUGGCGCGUUUGUGUGGUGUAAAGAUUUGAGUUAUUCUGAAUUUUUAAUGAAUUAAUAAUUUGAUUUGCCAUCUUCAAAGAAAAAAAGUAGAUAUAUUCAAAACUUAAUCUUUUAUCUUCAAUUUUUAAAUCAUAAUCCAUUGUACAGCAUUUUGGACCAUUAAGAGCUGGACAAGACAACCAAAGCGGGUUAUGGUGCUGAAAGUACCAUUAUUGUAAACUGGACUUCUACAAUCCAUUUGAGGGUGUAGUAAUAUCUGCUACUAUUUCCUCCCUAAGGGCGUUGUAACGGACAUAAAUUAAGGCUUAGAAAUAAGAAUGUCACAACAACAGUGAUGUUGUCUACACAUAGAGGUAGCGGGAAAGUAUAGGUCCUAUUUGUAGGGACAGACAGUGCCACUCUGCACGUUAAAGAACCCUUGUCACAACUCUUUUGAGGUGUCAGUAGGAUGUGGCUUGUUGCAUUAAUAGGCUAAAUUUCUGUCCAAAAAUAUCCUCCUCGGUUGGCAGUCAAAAUUCCCCCUCCCUUCACCAUAGGAUUGGACCACUUUAUAGAACCUACAAAUUGAUUUGUUGUGAUAUCAAGAGAUGUGAGACAACUAUCCUACAGAGACCAAAUGAUGUUAAUGUAAAAUAGGUUACUGUAUGGGCUUCAACAAUGAGAAAAUCCACUAACAUUAAAAUUGUGCAAUAUUCUGAUUUAGAAUGACUUGUUUAUACCUCCAAACUUUAACAUCUGAAAUUUUUUAUUAUCUAGAGCUCUGUAAAAAAAAAAAGAAAAAUAUAUAAAAAAGAAAAUACCAAAAAAUAAUAUGAAAGCAAAAUAGAAAACAGAGUUCUAGAUAAUAAACAUUGAGGGUGGGAUUAUUUUGAUAUUUUUAUGACCCCCGCCUUUAAGUCUUCUAAAGUUAUCAUAUUUAAAACAAAACAAAAAUUGGAAUGGCAGUUUAAAAAGUAUAGGUCCUUUCUGUAGGGACAGUGCAACUCUGCAUGUUAAAGAACCCUUGCCACAAAUCUUUUGAGGUGUCAGUAGGAUGUGGCUUGUUGCAAGGCUAACUUUCUGUCCAACAUUAUCCUCCUCUCUAUGAAUUAAUAAUUAGAUUUGUUAUCUUCAAAGAAAAAAAAGAAAGUAUCCAAAACUUUUAAUCUUUAAUCAUUUGCAACACAGAAGUUAUUAAUGUCUUCCAAAGAACUUGUCCUUAGUGUGUUCCAAAGAAAACUUGUCCUGAGAUCUGAAAAUUGCUGUUCAGAUAAAAAGCAAUGUGUGAAACUUUAAUAUUUUUGAUGUUUCAAACAAUAACUCGAUUCCUUUCAUUGCACAUUCUUUGUUGGCGCGUUUGUGUGGUGUAAAGAAUUGAGUUAUUCUGAAUUUUUAAUGAAUUAAUAAUUUGAUUUGCCAUCUUCAAAGAAAGAAAAAGUAGAUAUCCAAAACUUAUCUUUUAUCUUCAAUUUUUAAAACAUAAUCCAUUGUACAGCAUUUUGGACAAUUAAGAGCUGGCAAGACAACCGAACCGCGCAAUGGUGCUGAAAGUACCAUUAUUGUAAUCUGGACUUCUACAGUCCAUUUGAGGGUGUAGUAAUAUUUGCCACUAUUUCCUCCCUAAGGGCCUUGUAACAGGCAUAAAUAAAGGCUUAGAAAUAAGAAUGUCACAACAACAGUGAUGUUGUCUACACAUAGAGGUAGCGGGAAAGUAUAGGUCCUAUUUGUAGGGACAGACAGUGCCACUCUGCACGUUAAAGAACCCUUGUCACAACUCUUUUGAGGUGUCAGUAGGAUGUGGCUUGUUGCAUUAAUAGGCUAAAUUUCUGUCCAAAAAUAUCCUCCUCGGUUGGCAGUCAAAAUUCCCCCUCCCUUCACCAUAGGAUUGGACCACUUUAUAGAACCUACAAAUUGAUUUGUUGUGAUAUCAAGAGAUGUGAGACAACUAUCCUACAGAGACCAAAUGAUGUUAAUGUAAAAUAGGUUACUGUAUGGGCUUCAACAAUGAGAAAAUCCACUAACAUUAAAAUUUUGCAAUAUUCUGAUUUAGAAUGACUUGUUUAUACCUCCAAACUUUAACAUCUGAUAUUUUUAUUAUCUAGAGCUUUGUAAAAAAAAAAAGAAAAAAAAAUAUAAAAAAGAAAAUACCAAAAAAUAAUAUGAAAGCAAAAUAGAAAACAUAGUUCUAGAUAAUAAACAUUGAGGGUGGGAUAAUUUUGAUAUUUUUAUGACCCCCACCUUUAAGUCUUCUAAAGUUCUCAUAUUUAAAACAAAAAAAAUUGGAAUGGCAGUUUAAAAAGUAUAGGUCCUUUCUGUAGGGACAGUGCAACUCUGCAUGUUAAAGAACCCUUGCCACAAAUCUUUUGAGGUGUCAGUAGGAUGUGGCUUGUUGCAAAGGCUAACUUUCUGUCCAACAUUAUCCUCCUCUCGGUUGGCAGUCAAAAUUUCCCCUACCUUCAUCAUUGGCCCACCUUUGAGAACCUACAAAUUGUUUUGUUGUGAUAUCAAGAGAUGUGAGACAACUAUCCUACAGAGACCAAAUGAUGUUAAUGUAAAAUAGGUUACUGUAUGGGCUUCAACAAUGAGAAAAUCCACUAACAUUACAAUUUUGCAAUAUUUUGAUUGAGAAUGACUUGUUUAUACCUCCAAACUUUAACACCUGAUAUUUUUAUUAUCUAGAGCUCGUGAAUUAAUAAUUUGAUUUGCCAUCUUCAGAGAAAAAAAGAAGAUAUUCAAAACUUAAUCUUUUAUCUUCAAUUUUUAAAACAUAAUCCAUUGUACAGCAUUUUGGACCAUUAAGAGCUGGGCAAGACAACCAAACCGUGCAAUGGUGCUGAAAGUACCAUUAUUGUAAUCUGGACUUCUACAGUCCAUUUGAGGGUGUAGUUUUUCUCCCUAAGGGCGUUGUAACGGACAUAAAUUAAGGCUUAGAAAUGAGAACGUCACAACAACAGUGACAUUGUCUACAUAUAGAGAGGUAGCAGGAACACCUCUUGUGCAAUUCUUAACACCUCCAUAUACUCCAUCCACCAUCUAAAGCUGGUAUGACACAAGAUCCAAUAGUGUUGAAAAGUAAAAAGCAAUAUGAUUAUUGUAAUCAAGACUUCUCCAGUUCAUUUAAAGGAAUGUUACUGUGAUACAGGGUUUUCCAUCAUUAAGAGCUGGGCACGACAAAAGAACCAAUAAUAGUGAAAUUAGCAUUUUGGUAAUUUCGACCUUUCCAGUCUUGUUUAUGUCAGUUGAAAUCAUUUGAAAAACAAAAAUUUAUAAUGUGUUCCAAAGAAAACUUGUCCUGAGAUCUGAAAAUUGCUGUUCAAAUAAAAACAAUGUGAACAUUUAACAUUUUUGAUUUUCAAACAAUAACUCAUUUCUUGUCAUUGCACAUUCUUUGUUGGCACUGCAGUAUAUUUUAAAAAAAAGAAAAAAAGAAAGAAAAAAGAAUGGACAAAAAAUAAAUAUGUUACCUCCGGAAAGUUUGUGUGGUGUAAACAAUUGGGUUAGUCUGAAUUUUUAAUGAAUUAAUAAUUAGAUUUGUUAUCUUCAAAGAAAAAAAGAAAGUAUCCAAAACUUUUAAUCUUUUGCAAAACAGAAAUUUAUAAUGUCUUCCAAAGAUAACUUGUCCUGAGUGUGUUCCAAAGAAAACUUGUCCUGAGAUCUGAAAAUUGCUGUUCAAAUAAAAAACAAUGCGUGAAACUUUAACAUUUUUGAUGUUUCAAACAAUAACUCAAUUCUUUUCAUUGCACAUUCUUUGUUGGCGCGUUUGUGUGGUGUAAAGAUUUGAGUUAUUCUGAAUUUUUAAUGAAUUAAUAAUUUGAUUUGCCAUCUUCAAAGAAAAAAAGUAGAUAUAUUCAAAACUUAAUCUUUUAUCUUCAAUUUUUAAAUCAUAAUCCAUUGUACAGCAUUUUGGACCAUUAAGAGCUGGACAAGACAACCAAAGCGGGUUAUGGUGCUGAAAGUACCAUUAUUGUAAACUGGACUUCUACAAUCCAUUUGAGGGUGUAGUACUAUCUGCUACUAUUUCCUCCCUAAGGGCGUUGUAACGGACAUAAAUUAAGGCUUAGAAAUAAGAAUGUCACAACAACAGUGAUGUUGUCUACACAUAGAGGUAGCGGGAAAGUAUAGGUCCUAUUUGUAGGGACAGACAGUGCCACUCUGCACGUUAAAGAACCCUUGUCACAACUCUUUUGAGGUGUCAGUAGGAUGUGGCUUGUUGCAUUAGGCUAAAUUUCUGUCCAAAAAUAUCCUCCUCGGUUGGCAGUCAAAAUUUCCCCUCCCUUCACCAUAGGAUUGGACCACUUUAUAGAACCUACAAAUUGAUUUGUUGUGAUAUCAAGAGAUGUGAGACAACUAUACUACAGAGACCAAUUGAUGUUAAUGUAAAAUAGGUUACUGUAUGGGCUCCAACAAUGAGAAAAUCCACUAACAUUAAAAUUGUGCAAUAUUCUGAUUUAGAAUGACUUGUUUAUACCUCCAAACUUUAACAUCUGAUAUUUUUAUUAUCUAGAGCUCUGUAAAAAAAAAAAGAAAAAAAUAUAUAAAAAAGAAAAUACCAAAAAAUAAUAUGAAAGCAAAAUAGAAAACAGAGUUCUAGAUAAUAAACAUUGAGGGUGGGAUUAUUUUGAUAUUUUUAUGACCCCCGCCUUUAAGUCUUCUAAAGUUAUCAUAUUUAAAACAAAACAAAAAUUGGAAUGGCAGUUUAAAAAGUAUAGGUCCUUUCUGUAGGGACAGUGCAACUCUGCAUGUUAAAGAACCCUUGCCACAAAUCUUUUGAGGUGUCAGUAGGAUGUGGCUUGUUGCAAGGCUAACUUUCUGUCCAACAUUAUCCUCCUCUCGGCUGGCAGUCAAAAUUUCCCCUACCUUCAUCAUUGGCCCACCUUUGAGAACCUACAAAUUGUUUUGUUGUGAUAUCAAGAGAUGUGAGACAACUAUCCUACAGAGACCAAAUGAUGUUAAUGUAAAAUAGGUUACUGUAUGGGCUUCAACAAUGAGAAAAUCCACUAACAUUACAAUUUUGCAAUAUUUUGAUUGAGAAUGACUUGUUUAUACCUCCAAACUUUAACACCUGAUAUUUUUAUUAUCUUA